UCCCGAGAUACUUUCUUUCUUUUUUGCGCAAAACUUCAUCUCCAUUGCCAAUCGGUUCAGUCGUGUUGAGGUGGUUGGGUAGAGCUUUUCUUCCCGUUUCAAGUUGUUUGCCUUUCUCAUUCACUAUAACUUCGCACAUUUCUCAGAAGCAGAAGUCUCAGAAGCAGCAUUUCUCACCGUCUUCGUACAUCAAAGAGCUUUUCAGCGUCGUCUUCCUCACUUUCAAUGGCUCGAGAGCUCAUCCUUCACCAUCAUAGAGCAUCUUCCUCACUUUCAGGGAUCCAUGGUUCCUUCACGGUUUUCCAUCGAUUAAACAAGUUCUCUUGAGGGGCGUGUGCUACCAGGGAACAACUCUUACAACUCAGAGAGGGAAAAAAAAGGUAAAUGCAAGGCAAUGCAAUAGAGGAAUCUGUCUGCAAAAUCCAACCUCUGCAGCAAAAAGUACAAUAGUUUAGACUUUAAGAUAGUGAGACCAGUAUGGAGCGGUCUACAGAUGCUUUCAAGGAAACUCAUAAUAUAACCCUGUCUACCGAAGAUACUUUAUUUGGGGGUCUGGUGUCAAACCUUCAGGAUCAUUGCCAAUCUAAUUUUGUAAAAGUUUAUACUGGAAAUUGAGGAUCAUGCUAAUGAGUGUCCUGAAUGGGAGUGCAUUAGUAGAAUCCAAUACUACAAUUGCUCAUAAAACCUUUUGUGCUUUUAAUUCCUUAACCACUGAAUAUGGAUUAUCAUUCUCUGUAUUCAAGAAUAGGAGUAUUUAUCAUGUCUGGCAGNUNUUAUAAUCUUUGCAACCAAGAAAAGCCACAUUUACUGNAGAUACUUCGGUGGGGUAAGUAUUGAAACUUUAGUAACAAUUCCCAAGGAACCUUCACUUCCUACAUCAUCCGUAAUUUAAUUUACAAUCAAAUAUUUUACUUGUUUCGAGAUUCAACGUGUUGUUCACCCCAUACUUGGGUCUAUUGAGAGCUCGNAUGUACCCUUUGNUGUCCAUAAAGUCUCUCCUGUUUCUAUUUCAAAGGCCAUAAAAAAUGAAUCAGAGUUAGAAGGGAUGCAAAAUUGCCAUUUAAGGGAUGCUGCUGCCCUUGCUCAGUUCUGGGAUUGGUUAGAAACAGAAAUUACCAAAGAUAGAACAUUGACAGAAGUAAAGGUUUCGGAUAAACAGAAAUUAUCUGGAAGGUAUUCAUUGUUAAAGUGAAAGUGAUGUGCCAAUACAUGCAAUUGGAAGAAGGGCUACCACUGAGAUGGAGAAAUCAGUGUUAAGUUCAUAAAAUUACAUUGGCUAAUUGAUUUGUCAUAAAUAUUAACAGAUUUAUUUAUUAGAGAUAAAAGGUGAUAUAUUAGACUUUUUCUAAUUUAUUUUUCAUAAAUAUUAACAGUUAAGUACAUGAAAAUCCAAAGUGUUUAUCUUUUCUCUUA
Molecule: RNA transcript, 1413 nt
Organism: Vigna radiata var. radiata (mung bean)
Lineage: Eukaryota; Viridiplantae; Streptophyta; Magnoliopsida; Fabales; Fabaceae
Exons: 7
Source: RefSeq, a predicted model, not a curated record